This 461-nucleotide ribosomal RNA is filed under the name uncultured bacterium. RNAcentral's name for it is "partial 16S ribosomal RNA". It matches the Rfam family "Bacterial small subunit ribosomal RNA", at positions 338 to 795 of the family's 1533-position model. The record is from RNAcentral.
CCUACGGGAGGCAGCAGUGAGGAAUAUUGGUCAAUGGUCGGGAGACUGAACCAGCCAAGCCGCGUGAGGGAGGAAGGUACAGAGUAUCGUAAACCUCUUUUGUCAGGGAACAAAGACUGGGACGCGUCCCCGGAUGAGUGUACCUGAAGAAAAAGCAUCGGCUAACUCCGUGCCAGCAGCCGCGGUAAUACGGAGGAUGCGAGCGUUAUCCGGAUUUAUUGGGUUUAAAGGGGGCGCAGACGGCCAUGGCAAGCCCGGUGGGAAAGGCAGGGGCAUAACCCCUGUACUGCACUGGGAACUGUCAGGCUGGAGUGCCGGAGGGGUAAGCGGAAUUCCUGGUGUAGCGGUGAAAUGCGUAGAUAUCAGGAGGAACACCGGCGGCGAAGGCGGCUUACUGGACGGCAACUGACGUUGAGGCCCGAAAGCGUGGGGAGCGAACAGGAUUAGAUACCCCAGUAGUC